This 496-nucleotide ribosomal RNA is filed under the name uncultured bacterium. Its description in RNAcentral is "partial 16S ribosomal RNA". It matches the Rfam family "Bacterial small subunit ribosomal RNA", at positions 28 to 506 of the family's 1533-position model. The record is from RNAcentral.
GAUGAACGCUGGCGGCGUGCCUAAUACAUGCAAGUCGAGCGAACAGAUGAGGAUCUUGCUCCUCUGACGUUAGCGGCGGACGGGUGAGUAACACGUGGAUAACCUACCUAUAAGACUGGGAUAACUUCGGGAAACCGGAGCUAAUACCGGAUAAUAUAUUGAACCGCAUGGUUCAAUAGUUAAAGACGGUUUUGCUGUCACUUAUAGAUGGAUCCGCGCCGCAUUAUCUAGUUGGUAAGGUAACGGCUUACCAAGGCGACGAUGCGUAGCCGACCUGAGAGGGUGAUCGGCCACACUGGAACUGAGACACGGUCCAGACUCCUACGGGAGGCAGCAGUAGGGAAUCUUCCGGAAUGGGCGAAAGACUGACGGAGCAACGCCGAGUGAGUGAUGAAGGUCUUCGGAUCGUAAAACUCUGUUAUUAGGGAAGAACAAAUGUGUAAGUAACUAUGCACGUCUUGACGGUACCUAAUCAGAAAGCGACGGCUAACUACGU